UCCAUGGUAGAAUUGAGAACUGCAAGAACGAUUUUCAACCGACUACAAAAAUCUGUCAAGUUUACUAUAAUUUACCAGAUUACCAGAUACUGAGCAGUGCAGUAAAUGUGACUAUGUCUAUAGUAGCAUCCACUACAAAGCAUUGUAUUUCUAUCCAUGAUACCCACCGUACAACAUAGUGUGCAGUGAUGGAAAGUGGCGAUCAUUUCUUCUGAACUGGAACAAAAACAAAACCAAACGAUUCCGAGCGUCAGAGCGCUGAAUCGCUUGGUUGCAACAUGAAGACGGUUCUUGAUCUCCUCCACCGCGACCAAGCCAAGCCAGUAGUCCUCAAUCAACACAAGGACGAACAGUUACACCGAAAGCAUGGUGCACUUCCUCGUGACUUCCGAAAAGGCGACAUGGUCUAGGCCAAGCUCUACCGCAGCAACACCAAGUGGCAGUGGACUUCGGCCGUAAUCAUCGAGCAUCGUUCUAGUGAAACAACAACCGGAGCAGCAGAUUCCACACCACUGGGUAUCCUGGCGGAUAUGUUUGGACUUCAAUCUCCAAGACCAACUAUACAGCACGUCACGCAAAAAGGCCAAUCCGAACAGAAACCACUUCCUGUUCCCAUCUAACCACGAAACGAACUUUGCGACUAUGCUUUUGAUCGAUCUUUGUUCUAAGUGUUCCAUCUUUUUGUCUGUGUUUGAUCAUACUCGACAUAAUACAUACUACCAAAAACGCU
Aedes aegypti (yellow fever mosquito) is the source of this 730-nucleotide long non-coding RNA. RefSeq lists it as uncharacterized. Lineage: Eukaryota; Metazoa; Arthropoda; Insecta; Diptera; Culicidae. The transcript has 2 exons. The record is from RefSeq and is a predicted model, not a curated record.